Molecule: ribosomal RNA, 477 nt
Filed under: uncultured bacterium
Lineage: Bacteria
Description: bacterial SSU rRNA
Rfam family: Bacterial small subunit ribosomal RNA
Source: RNAcentral
GAUGAACGCUAGCGGCAGGCUUAACACAUGCAAGUCGAGGGGCAGCACGGGUAGCAAUACCUGGUGGCGACCGGCGCAAGGGUGCGUAACGCGUGAGCAACAUGCCCUAUACAGGGGGAUAAUCCAGGGAAACUUGGUCUAAUAUCCCAUAGUAUUUAGAGGAGGCAUCUUCUAUAAAUUAAAGCUUCGGUGGUAUAGGAUUGGCUCGCGUGACAUUAGCUAGAUGGUGAGGUAACGGCUCACCAUGGCAAUGAUGUCUAGGGGUUCUGAGAGGAAGGCCCCCCACACUGGGACUGAGACACGGCCCAGACUCCUACGGGAGGCAGCAGUGAGGAAUAUUGGACAAUGGAUGGAAAUCUGAUCCAGCCAUGCCGCGUGCAGGAAGACGGCCCUAUGGGUUGUAAACUGCUUUUAAUGGGAGCAAUAAGGUCUACGCGUAGACCGAUGAGAGUACCAUAUGAAUAAGCAUCGGCUAAC